ACAAUGAUGAUGUCACUGAUUCUACUGCUGGCCACCCUGGGGCUCCUUGUUCAGGGUUCAUCAGGACAAAUCAUCCUGACUCAGUCUCCUGGAUCUCAGUCUGCUGUUCCAGGACAGGCUGUCUCUCUCAAAUGUAAAACCAGUGCAAGUACUGGCUACCUGCACUGGUACCUUCAGAAACCUGGAGAAGCUCCUAAACUCCUGAUUUAUUCAGCUACAACCCGUCAGUCUGGAGUUCCAGAUCGUUUUAGUGGAAGUGGAUCUGGGACUGACUUCACUCUGACCAUCAGUGGAGUUCAGGCUGAAGAUUCAGGAGUUUACUACUGUCAUAGUCAUCAAUGGAUCAACAGUCAGGUUGUGUUCACACAGUGA
Micropterus salmoides (largemouth bass) is the source of this 372-nucleotide non-coding RNA. NCBI's taxonomy places the organism in Eukaryota, Metazoa, Chordata, Actinopteri, Centrarchiformes, Centrarchidae. The record is from the annotation of a RefSeq genome assembly.